This 433-nucleotide ribosomal RNA is filed under the name uncultured bacterium. RNAcentral's name for it is "partial 16S ribosomal RNA". It matches the Rfam family "Bacterial small subunit ribosomal RNA", at positions 29 to 507 of the family's 1533-position model. The record is from RNAcentral.
AACGAACGCUGGCGGCAUGCCUAACACAUGCAAGUCGAACGAGACCUUCGGGUCUAGUGGCGCACGGGUGCGUAACGCGUGGGAACCUGCCCUUAGGUUCGGAAUAACUCCCCGAAAGGGGUGCUAAUACCGGAUAAUGUCUUCGGACCAAAGAUUGAUCGCCUUUGGAUGGGCCCGCGUUGGAGUAGCUAGUUGGUAGGGUAAAAGCCUGCCAAGGCGACGAUCCAUAGCUGGUCUGAGAGGAUGAUCAGCCACACUGGGACUGACACACGGCCCAGACCCCACCGGGAGGCAGCGGGGGGGAAUAUUGAAGGAGGGCGAAAGCCCGUAUCGACCAUUUACGCGUGAGAGCAGCGCGCCUGAGGGUUGUACAGCUCUUUUCCCCGGGAUGAUAACGACAGUACCGGAAAAAUAUCCUCCGGCUACCCCCGUC